Molecule: ribosomal RNA, 433 nt
Filed under: uncultured bacterium
Lineage: Bacteria
Description: partial 16S ribosomal RNA
Rfam family: Bacterial small subunit ribosomal RNA
Source: RNAcentral
AGCGAACGCUGGAGGAAGGAAUAAAACAUGCAAGUCGAACAAACUAAUAGGAAUAAGUAGAGGAAAGGAGAGUACAAAAUAGGAAAAUACAAUUAGGUUCGGACUCACUCAGGGAAACUUGUGCUAAUACCGAAUGUGCCCUUCGGGGGAAAGAUUUAUCGCCAUUAGAGCGGCCCGCGUCUGAUUAGCUAGUUGGUGAGGUAACGGCUCACCAAGGCGACGAUCAGUAGCUGGUCUGAGAGGAUGACCAGCCACACUGGGACUGAGACACGGCCCAGACUCCUACGGGAGGCAGCAGUGGGGAAUCUUGCGCAAUGGGCGAAAGCCUGACGCAGCCAUGCCGCGUGAAUGAUGAAGGUCUUAGGAUUGUAAAAUUCUUUCACCGGGGACGAUAAUGACGGUACCCGGAGAAGAAGCCCCGGCUAACUUCGUG